RNAcentral lists this ribosomal RNA (641 nucleotides) under uncultured bacterium. Its description in RNAcentral is "bacterial SSU rRNA". The stretch from base 1 to 533 matches the Rfam family "Bacterial small subunit ribosomal RNA", at positions 338 to 873 of the family's 1533-position model. The record is from RNAcentral.
CCUACGGGAGGCAGCAGUGAGGAAUAUUGGACAAUGGGCGCAAGCCUGAUCCAGCCAUGCCGCGUGCAGGAAGACGGUCCUAUGGAUUGUAAACUGCUUUUAUACAGGAAGAAACACCUCUACGUGUAGAGACUUGACGGUACUGUAUGAAUAAGCAUCGGCUAACUCCGUGCCAGCAGCCGCGGUAAUACGGAGGAUGCAAGCGUUAUCCGGAAUCAUUGGGUUUAAAGGGUCCGUAGGCGGUUUAAUAAGUCAGUGGUGAAAGCCCAUCGCUCAACGAUGGAACGGCCAUUGAUACUGUUAAACUUGAAUUAUUAGGAAGUAACUAGAAUAUGUAGUGUAGCGGUGAAAUGCUUAGAGAUUACAUGGAAUACCAAUUGCGAAGGCAGGUUACUACUAAUAUAUUGACGCUGAUGGACGAAAGCGUGGGGAGCGAACAGGAUUAGAUACCCUGGUAGUCCACGCCGUAAACGAUGGAUACUAGCUGUUCGGAGCAAUCUGNGUGNGUAGAGAAGAGAGUAAGUAUACCUACCGUACGGGUAGGUACGGUUCGUACGAAGAAGUAAGAAACGUAACGAAAGUAAGUAAGUAGUACGGUACGUAGAGACGACGGACGACGGACGACGACGGAGGGGAGGAGG